AAUUAAUUACAGUAAAGGGUAAAAUCAAAAUGCUGUUAAUAUAAGUAAAAUAAAUUUAUGCUGAAGCUAGAAAAAUUUAGUUAAAAACUAGGAUUAGAUACCCUAUUAUUCUGAAUUAAAAAUACGUUACUGAGUGAGUAUUAGUUAAAUACUUAAAAAUUAAAAAAUUUGGCGGUGAUUUAAUCUUACCAGAGGAACUUGUUUCUUUAUCGAUAUACCACGAAGAAUCUUACUUACUUUUGUAAAUUAAUCAGUUUGUAUACCAUCAUUAGCAGGCAAUUUUAAUAAAAUUAAUUGCUAGUUAUUAAUUAGUUACUAAAAUUAGAUCAUGGUGCAGCAUAUAAGUAAGUUGAAAUGAGUUACAAUAAUUUUUAUUAUAUGGAUCAGUAAAAAAAUAGUUACUGUAAAGGAGGAUUUGGUUGUAUUUUAAGUUUAAUAAGCUUAUAAGACAUUAGCUCUAAAUCAUGUACAUAUCGCCCGUCGCUUUCGU
Molecule: ribosomal RNA, 490 nt
Filed under: Orisarma intermedium
Lineage: Eukaryota; Metazoa; Arthropoda; Malacostraca; Decapoda; Sesarmidae
Description: partial 12S ribosomal RNA
Source: RNAcentral